GAGAAGCCUAAGAAGCUGGUGAUGUGUCC
This 29-nucleotide non-coding RNA is filed under the name Rattus norvegicus (Norway rat). Lineage: Eukaryota; Metazoa; Chordata; Mammalia; Rodentia; Muridae. The record is from RNAcentral.